GUGAGCAACCUGCCCUGGACUCUGGGAUAAGCGCUGGAAACGGCGUCUAAUACUGGAUAUGAGACGUGAUCGCAUGGUCGUGUUUGGAAAGAUUUUUCGGUCUGGGAUGGGCUCGCGGCCUAUCAGCUUGUUGGUGAGGUAAUGGCUCACCAAGGCGUCGACGGGUAGCCGGCCUGAGAGGGUGACCGGCCACACUGGGACUGAGACACGGCCCAGACUCCUACGGGAGGCAGCAGUGGGGAAUAUUGCACAAUGGGCGAAAGCCUGAUGCAGCAACGCCGCGUGAGGGAUGACGGCCUUCGGGUUGUAAACCUCUUUUAGCAGGGAAGAAGCGUAAGUGACGGUACCUGCAGAAAAAGCGCCGGCUAACUACGUGCCAGCAGCCGCGGUAAUACGUAGGGCGCAAGCGUUAUCC
RNAcentral lists this ribosomal RNA (415 nucleotides) under Microbacterium sp. F196. RNAcentral describes it as "bacterial SSU rRNA". It matches the Rfam family "Bacterial small subunit ribosomal RNA", at positions 117 to 546 of the family's 1533-position model. Lineage: Bacteria; Bacillati; Actinomycetota; Actinomycetes; Micrococcales; Microbacteriaceae. The record is from RNAcentral.